UAGGGAAUCUUCCACAAUGGGCGCAAGCCUGAUGGAGCGACGCCGCGUGAGUGAAGAAGGUCUUCGGAUCGUAAAACUCUGUUGUUAGAGAAGAACAUGCAGGAGAGUAACUGUUCUUGUAUUGACGGUAUCUAACCAGAAAGCCACGGCUAACUACGUGCCAG
This 164-nucleotide ribosomal RNA is filed under the name uncultured bacterium. RNAcentral describes it as "partial 16S rRNA". It matches the Rfam family "Bacterial small subunit ribosomal RNA", at positions 355 to 511 of the family's 1533-position model. The record is from RNAcentral.